AGAGUUUAGUCAUGGCUCAGGAUGAACGCUGGCGGCGUGCCUAACACAUGCAAGUCGAACGGGAAGCUACCUUCGGGUAGUGGAGAGUGGCGAACGGGUGAGUAACACGUAGCUAACCUGCCUUCAAGACGAGGAUAACUAUUGGAAACAGUAGCUAAUACUCGAUAAGCUCACGGUUUGUAGAUGAUUGUGAGAAAAGCUCAGGCGCUUGAAGAUGGGGCUGCGAGCCAUCAGCUAGUUGGUGAGGUAAAAGCUCACCAAGGCGACGACGGCUAGGGGACCUGAGAGGGUGACCCCCCACACUGGAACUGAGACACGGUCCAGACUUCUACGGAAGGCAGCAGUGAGGAAUAUUGCACAAUGGGCGCAAGCCUGAUGCAGCGACGCCGCGUGGGUGAAGACGGUUUUCGGACUGUAAAGCCCUUUUCUAGGUGACGAGAGUGGACGGUAGCCUAGGAAUAAGUCUCGGCUAACUACGUGCCAGCAGCCGCGGUAAAACGUAGGAGGCGAGCGUUAUCCGGAGUUACUGGGCGUAAAGCGCGUGCAGGCGGAUCAGUAAGUUACUCAUGAAAGCUCCUGGCUAAACCGGGAGAGGUUGAGUAAAACUGCUAGUCUAGAGUGGAUGAGAGGUAGGUAGAAUUCCUUGUGUAGUGGUGAAAUGCGUAGAUAUAAGGAAGAAUACCGGUGGCGAAGGCGACCUACUGGCAUCCAACUGACGCUCAGACGCGAAAGCAUGGGUAGCGAACGGGAUUAGAAACCCCGGUAGUCCAUGCCGUAAACGAUGCACACUAAACGUUUGCAUUCCUACGGGGAUGUGAGUGUUGAAGCUAACGCGAUAAGUGUGCCGCCUGGGGAGUACGGUCGCAAGGCUAAAACUCAAAGGAAUUGACGGGGGCCCGGCACAAGCAGCGGAGCGUGUGGGUUUAAAUUCGAGGAUACGCGAAGAACCUUACCUGGGUUUUGACAUAAUAGUGGUAAGAGAAGGGAAACCGGAUCGACUCUUCGGAGAGCUUAUUACAGGUGCUGCAUGGUUGUCGUCAAGCUCGUGCCGUGAGGUGUUCGGUUAAGUCCGCAAACGAGCGCAACCCCUAUCGUUAGUUACAAGUGUCUAGCGAGACUGCCCGAGGCAAUCGGGAGGAAGGUGGGGAUGAUGUCAAAUCAGCAUGGCCUUUAUAUCCAGGGCUACACACACGCUACAAUGGCACAUACAAUGGGUAGCGAAGCCGCGAGGUGGAGCCAAUCUCGAAAGUGUGUCUCAGUUCGGAUUACAGGCUGCAACUCGCCUGUAUGAAGUCGGAGUUGCUAGUAACCGUGUAUCAGCACGGCACGGUGAAUACGUUCCCGGGCCUUGUACACACCGCCCGUCACGUCAUGGGAGUUGAUUACGCCUGAAGUCGGGAAGCUAACCUAACGGGGGCUACCGCCGAAGGCAGGAUUGAUGACUGGGACGAAGUCGUAACAAGGUAGCUGUAGCGGAAGCUGCGGCUGGAUCACCUCCUU
RNAcentral lists this ribosomal RNA (1500 nucleotides) under uncultured prokaryote. Its description in RNAcentral is "partial 16S ribosomal RNA". It matches the Rfam family "Bacterial small subunit ribosomal RNA". The record is from RNAcentral.